CAAGGCGACGAUGCGUAUCCGACCUGAGAGGGUGAACGGCCACACUGGGACUGAGACACGGCCCAGACUCCUACGGGAGGCAGCAGUAGGGAAUCUUCCGCAAUGGACGCAAGUCUGACGGAGCAACGCCGCGUGAGUGAUGAAGGUUUUCGGAUCGUAAAGCUCUGUUGCCAGGGAAGAACGUCUUGGAGAGUAACUGCUCUAAUAGUGACGGUACCUGAGAAGAAUGCC
Molecule: ribosomal RNA, 231 nt
Filed under: Paenibacillus sp.
Lineage: Bacteria; Bacillati; Bacillota; Bacilli; Caryophanales; Paenibacillaceae
Description: partial 16S ribosomal RNA
Rfam family: Bacterial small subunit ribosomal RNA
Source: RNAcentral